This 254-nucleotide ribosomal RNA is filed under the name uncultured bacterium. Its description in RNAcentral is "partial 16S ribosomal RNA". It matches the Rfam family "Bacterial small subunit ribosomal RNA", at positions 524 to 776 of the family's 1533-position model. The record is from RNAcentral.
UACGUAGGGGCCUAGCGUUGUCCGGAUUUAUUGGGCGUAAAGAGCUCGUAGGCGGUUCGGCAAGUCAGCUGUGAAAUCUCCACGCUUAACGUGGAGGGGUCAGCUGAUACUGCCGUGACUCGAGUCCGGUAGGGGAGUGUGGAAUUCCCGGUGUAGCAGUGAAAUGCGUAGAGAUGCGGAGGAACACCGAUGGCGAAGGCAGCCCCCUGGGCUGACACUGACGCUGAGGCACGAAAGCGUGGGGAGCAAACAGG